UACGUAGGUAUCAAGCGUUGUUCGGAUUCAUUGGGCGUAAAGGGUGCGUAGGCGGCGCGGUAAGUCGGGUGUGAAAUCUUGGAGCUUAACUCCGAAACUGCAUUCGAUACUGCCGUGCUUGAGGACUGGAGAGGAGACUGGAAUUUACGGUGUAGCGGUGAAAUGCGUAGAUAUCGUAAGGAAGACCAGUGGCGAAGGCGGGUCUCUGGACAGUUCCUGACGCUGAGGCACGAAGGCCAGGGGAGCAAACGGG
RNAcentral lists this ribosomal RNA (253 nucleotides) under uncultured bacterium. RNAcentral describes it as "partial 16S ribosomal RNA". It matches the Rfam family "Bacterial small subunit ribosomal RNA", at positions 524 to 776 of the family's 1533-position model. The record is from RNAcentral.